GAGCAAAUAGGGGAGGCGGGGGUGGCAGAUGACAGGCUCUUUUUCUAACAGUCAGCUCUAGUGGGAACUAAUAGUGUGAGAACUCACUCACCCCCAACACCCAACCCGAGAGCAUUAAUCUGCUCUUGAGGGAUCCGUCCCCAGAAUCCAAACACCUCCCAUUAGGCCCCACCUCCAACAUUGGGAUCAAAUUUCAACAUGAGAUUUUUGGCAGGACAAACAUCUAAA
This 228-nucleotide long non-coding RNA is filed under the name Homo sapiens (human). RNAcentral describes it as "LHRI_LNC258.1". Lineage: Eukaryota; Metazoa; Chordata; Mammalia; Primates; Hominidae. The record is from RNAcentral.